AUUGAACGCUGGCGGCAGGCCUAACACAUGCAAGUCGAACGGUAACAGGCAACAGCUUGCUGUUUCGCUGACGAGUGGCGGACGGGUGAGUCAUGUCUGGGAAACUGCCUGCUGGAGGGGGAUAACUACUGGAAACGGUAGCUACUACCUCAUAACGUCUCAUGCCCAAAGAGGGUGACCUUCGGGCCUCUUGCCAUCGGAUGUGCCCAGAUGGUCUUAGCUGGUAGGUGGGGUAACGUCUCACCUAGGUGACGAUCCCUCGCUGGUCUGAGAGUAUGACCGGCCACACGGGAGCGGAGACACGGUCAAGACGACUAAGGGAGGCAGCAGUGGGGAAUAUUGCACAAUGGGGGCAAGCCUGAUGCAGCCAGGCCGCGUGUAUGAAGAAGGCCUUCGGGUUGUAAAGUACUUUCAGCGGGGAGGAAGGGAGUAAAGUUAAUACCUUUGCUCAUUGACGUUACCCGCAGAAGAAGCACCGGCUAACUCCGUG
RNAcentral lists this ribosomal RNA (490 nucleotides) under uncultured bacterium. RNAcentral describes it as "partial 16S ribosomal RNA". It matches the Rfam family "Bacterial small subunit ribosomal RNA", at positions 30 to 507 of the family's 1533-position model. The record is from RNAcentral.